This 497-nucleotide ribosomal RNA is filed under the name uncultured bacterium. Its description in RNAcentral is "partial 16S ribosomal RNA". It matches the Rfam family "Bacterial small subunit ribosomal RNA", at positions 28 to 507 of the family's 1533-position model. The record is from RNAcentral.
GAUGAACGCUGGCGGCGUGCCUAAUACAUGCAAGUAGAACGCUGAAGGAAGGAGCUUGCUCUUUCCGGAUGAGUUGCGAACGGGUGAGUAACGCGUAGGUAACCUGCCUGGUAGCGGGGGAUAACUAUUGGAAACGAUAGCUAAUACCGCAUAACAGUAGAUGUUGCAUGAUAUCUACUUAAAAGGUGCAAUUGCACCACUACCAGAUGGACCUGCGUUGUAUUAGCUAGUUGGUGAGGUAACGGCUCACCAAGGCGACGAUACAUAGCCGACCUGAGAGGGUGAUCGGCCACACUGGGACUGAGACACGGCCCAGACUCCUACGGGAGGCAGCAGUAGGGAAUCUUCGGCAAUGGACGGAAGUCUGACCGAGCAACGCCGCGUGAGUGAAGAAGGUUUUCGGAUCGUAAAGCUCUGUUGUAAGAGAAGAACGAGUGUGAGAGUGGAAAGUUCACACUGUGACGGUAUCUUACCAGAUAGGGACGGCUAACUACGUG